GACGAACGCUGGCGGCGUGCUUAACACAUGCAAGUCGAACGGAAAGGCCUCUUUCGGGGGGUACUCGAGUGGCGAACGGGUGAGUAACACGUGAGUAGCCUGCCCUUGACUUUGGGAUAACUUCAGGAAACUGGGGCUAAUACCGGAUAGGAGCUCCUGCUGCAUGGUGGGGGUUGGAAAGUUUCGGCGGUUGGGGAUGGACUCGCGGCUUAUCAGCUUGUUGGUGGGGGAGUGGCUUACCAAGGCUUUGACGGGUAGCCGGCCUGAGAGGGUGACCGGCCACAUUGGGACUGGGAUACGGCCCAGCCUCCUACGGGGGGCAGCAGUGGGGAAUAUUGCACAAUGGGUGGAAGCCUGAUGCAGCAACGCCGUGUGCGGGAUGACGGCCUUCGGGUUGUAAACCGCUUUCGCUCAUGACGAAGCUUUGUGUGACGGUAGUGGGUAAAGAAGCACCGGCUAACUACGUG
RNAcentral lists this ribosomal RNA (467 nucleotides) under uncultured bacterium. RNAcentral's name for it is "partial 16S ribosomal RNA". It matches the Rfam family "Bacterial small subunit ribosomal RNA", at positions 28 to 507 of the family's 1533-position model. The record is from RNAcentral.